CGUGAGGGAAAGGCGAAAAGAACCCCGGCGAGGGGAGUGAAAAAGAACCUGAAACCGUGUACGUACAAGCAGUGGGAGCACGCUUAGGCGUGUGACUGCGUACCUUUUGUAUAAUGGGUCAGCGACUUAUAUUCUGUAGCAAGGUUAACCGAAUAGGGGAGCCGAAGGGAAACCGAGUCUUAACUGGGCGUUAAGUUGCAGGGUAUAGACCCGAAACCCGGUGAUCUAGCCAUGGGCAGGUUGAAGGUUGGGUAACACUAACUGGAGGACCGAACCGACUAAUGUUGAAAAAUUAGCGGAUGACUUGUGGCUGGGGGUGAAAGGCCAAUCAAACCGGGAGAUAGCUGGUUCUCCCCGAAAGCUAUUUAGGUAGCGCCUCGUGAAUUCAUCUCCGGGGGUAGAGCACUGUUUCGGCAAGGGGGUCAUCCCGACUUACCAACCCGAUGCAAACUGCGAAUACCGGAGAAUGUUAUCACGGGAGACACACGGCGGGUGCUAACGUCCGUCGUGAAGAGGGAAACAACCCAGACCGCCAGCUAAGGUCCCAAAGUCAUGGUUAAGUGGGAAACGAUGUGGGAAGGCCCAGACAGCCAGGAUGUUGGCUUAGAAGCAGCCAUCAUUUAAAGAAAGCGUAAUAGCUCACUGGUCGAGUCGGCCUGCGCGGAAGAUGUAACGGGGCUAAACCAUGCACCGAAGCUGCGGCAGCGACGCUUAUGCGUUGUUGGGUAGGGGAGCGUUCUGUAAGCCUGCGAAGGUGUGCUGUGAGGCAUGCUGGAGGUAUCAGAAGUGCGAAUGCUGACAUAAGUAACGAUAAAGCGGGUGAAAAGCCCGCUCGCCGGAAGACCAAGGGUUCCUGUCCAACGUUAAUCGGGGCAGGGUGAGUCGACCCCUAAGGCGAGGCCGAAAGGCGUAGUCGAUGGGAAACAGGUUAAUAUUCCUGUACUUGGUGUUACUGCGAAGGGGGGACGGAGAAGGCUAUGUUGGCCGGGCGACGGUUGUCCCGGUUUAAGCGUGUAGGCUGGUUUUCCAGGCAAAUCCGGAAAAUCAAGGCUGAGGCGUGAUGACGAGGCACUACGGUGCUGAAGCAACAAAUGCCCUGCUUCCAGGAAAAGCCUCUAAGCAUCAGGUAACAUCAAAUCGUACCCCAAACCGACACAGGUGGUCAGGUAGAGAAUACCAAGGCGCUUGAGAGAACUCGGGUGAAGGAACUAGGCAAAAUGGUGCCGUAACUUCGGGAGAAGGCACGCUGAUAUGUAGGUGAAGUCCCUCGCGGAUGGAGCUGAAAUCAGUCGAAGAUACCAGCUGGCUGCAACUGUUUAUUAAAAACACAGCACUGUGCAAACACGAAAGUGGACGUAUACGGUGUGACGCCUGCCCGGUGCCGGAAGGUUAAUUGAUGGGGUCAGCGCAAGCGAAGCUCUUGAUCGAAGCCCCGGUAAACGGCGGCCGUAACUAUAACGGUCCUAAGGUAGCGAAAUUCCUUGUCGGGUAAGUUCCGACCUGCACGAAUGGCGUAAUGAUGGCCAGGCUGUCUCCACCCGAGACUCAGUGAAAUUGAACUCGCUGUGAAGAUGCAGUGUACCCGCGGCAAGACGGAAAGACCCCGUGAACCUUUACUAUAGCUUGACACUGAACAUUGAGCCUUGAUGUGUAGGAUAGGUGGGAGGCUUGGAAGUGUGGACGCCAGUCUGCAUGGAGCCGACCUUGAAAUACCACCCUUUAAUGUUUGAUGUUCUAACGUUGACCCGUAAUCCGGGUUGCGGACAGUGUCUGGUGGGUAGUUUGACUGGGGCGGUCUCCUCCUAAAGAGUAACGGAGGAGCACGAAGGUUGGCUAAUCCUGGUCGGACAUCAGGAGGUUAGUGCAAUGGCAUAAGCCAGCUUGACUGCGAGCGUGACGGCGCGAGCAGGUGCGAAAGCAGGUCAUAGUGAUCCGGUGGUUCUGAAUGGAAGGGCCAUCGCUCAACGGAUAAAAGGUACUCCGGGGAUAACAGGCUGAUACCGCCCAAGAGUUCAUAUCGACGGCGGUGUUUGGCACCUCGAUGUCGGCUCAUCACAUCCUGGGGCUGAAGUAGGUCCCAAGGGUAUGGCUGUUCGCCAUUUAAAGUGGUACGCGAGCUGGGUUUAGAACGUCGUGAGACAGUUCGGUCCCUAUCUGCCGUGGGCGCUGGAGAACUGAGGGGGGCUGCUCCUAGUACGAGAGGACCGGAGUGGACGCAUCACUGGUGUUCGGGUUGUCAUGCCAAUGGCACUGCCCGGUAGCUAAAUGCGGAAGAGAUAAGUGCUGAAAGCAUCUAAGCACGAAACUUGCCCCGAGAUGAGUUCUCCCUGACUCCUUGAGAGUCCUGAAGGAACGUUGAAGACGACGACGUUGAUAGGCCGGGUGUGUAAGCGCAGCGAUGCGUUGAGCUAACCGGUACUAAUGAACCGUGAGGCUUAACCUUACAACGCCGAAGGUGUUU
This 2461-nucleotide ribosomal RNA is filed under the name Escherichia coli. RNAcentral describes it as "partial 23S ribosomal RNA". It matches the Rfam family "Bacterial large subunit ribosomal RNA", at positions 502 to 2925 of the family's 2925-position model. The record is from RNAcentral. Lineage: Bacteria; Pseudomonadati; Pseudomonadota; Gammaproteobacteria; Enterobacterales; Enterobacteriaceae.